This 253-nucleotide ribosomal RNA is filed under the name uncultured bacterium. Its description in RNAcentral is "partial 16S ribosomal RNA". It matches the Rfam family "Bacterial small subunit ribosomal RNA", at positions 524 to 776 of the family's 1533-position model. The record is from RNAcentral.
UACGUAGGGGGCUAGCGUUGUCCGGAUUUAUUGGGCGUAAAGAGCGUGUAGGCGGCCAGACAGGUCCGUUGUGAAAACUCGAGGCUCAACCUCGAGACGCCGAUGGAAACCGUCUGGCUAGAGUCCGGAAGAGGAGAGUGGAAUUCCUGGUGUAGCGGUGAAAUGCGCAGAUAUCAGGAAGAACACCCGUGGCUAAGGCGGCUCUCUAGUACGGUACUGACGCUGAGACGCGAAAGCGUGGGGAGCGAACAGG